AGAAGCUUGUGAUAGAGUUAAUUGAUGGGGAGAAAGGUAAGGAAAUGAAAAGGAAGGCAAUGGAAUGGAAGUCAAAGGCUGAAGCGACAACGGGUGUUAAUGGUUCAUCAUCCAAGAAUUUUGACAAACUUGUCGACGACGUGCUCCGCUUCCAAAAACCUUGAAUUACCUUCUUUUGAUGAAAUUGUUGUUACAUCUGCAGGUUGUCUGCCUUUAGCUUUUUUAUUGAUCAUCCAUGUUGUAACUCAUUUUUGGAUCCCUCAAAAAUAAAAAUGAAAUAAAUAGUAAAGGAGGGUAGAAAAAUAACAGAAGACAGAAGCAUUCAGAAAAUGGUUAGAAAAUUGGUCAAGGAGUAUAAAAAUACAAAGAUUUGAUUUUUUACAGUAUAUUCUUGAAGGAUGAGGGCCCUGUUUAGAAGGAAAAUUUAUUUUGAGGAGAAAAGCCCAAAUUUGGAUGUUUAUGGACUUAAUUAGAUUUUUAAUUGGAUUUAUAGGGGAUUUGAUUGCAAGAAAAAUUUAUUUUUAAGUCAAUUUGGGCUUUAAUUAGAAGAAAUUUAAGUUCUGGGGCCAAAAUAUAUUUUUUAGGAUUUUAUUGGGUCAAAUUAGGGGCUUAAUUGCAUAAAUAUUGAAGUUUAAUGGCCAAUUAGGGGCUUAAUUGUGAAAAUCCGAAACUAGGGACCAAUUUGGAAAAGGCGCAAAGAUAGAGGGGGCUGUUUGAAAUUGAUUCAGGGGUCUAAUUGAAGAAAUUGGAAGUUUAUUGAUCAAUUAAGGGCUAAAUUGCAUAAAUCAGAGGCCAAGGACCAAAGUAGAAAACGCGGCCAACUAUGGGGACGGGGACCGAAAUGGGCAGGGACGCAAUUGAAAGGAACAAAAAUAAUUGGGGGACUGAUGUGAACAUUGGCGCGUUUCUGGCGCCACAAUUGAAUGAAAUGGCGCGUUUUCUCCAAAACGACGCCGUUUCAUACAGUUUUUUUUUUUUUAAAAAAAAAAGACCAAACGGUGCCGUUUUGAACAGCACUGUUUCCCUUUCUUCUUCCCCCCCACAUGCGUAGCAAGGAAGAGGAAAACCGGGGUUUUUGUUCCCACCUCUCUCCUCACGUGCCCUGACCCGACGCUCCACUCCUUGGGACCACCGAAGCCGAAGCCAAUGGCCGACCGCCCGCCGCGCCACCGAAAUCGAGGGAAACCCACCUUGGCAGCGGCGCCUGCCGACCGCCCGACCAGCGCGCCCCACUCCCCAUGCAUUCAUGCCCCGGUAUCACUAUAAAUAGAGAAGAAACAGAGUAAACAGGGGACAGAGAGAAAAAGAGGAGAAGGAGGAGGAAAAAGAAAAAAAAAACCAAGACAAAAGGAGAGAGAGAGAGACCGAAGGAGAGAGAAACCACCGAAAUUAAGAAACAGCCACCGAAAACCCAAAGUGGAGAAGCUUGGGAUAGUUGAAAUCGAGAGUGAACUCAAGAAGCUGAAACAGAAGUAACGAACCGGGUGAACGACGACGAACCGUUGGAAAACAGCCGUAGCGCCGCCUGGAGCCGCCGUUCAUUCUUUUUUUUUUCUGUUGGGCCAGACAGGGUCUGGCCCAGCGAUAUGGGUAUGGGCCAGGGGGAUUCUGGCCCAGCCUGGCGGUCUGGGCCGGUCCGGCCCAGACCAAGGUAGGUUGUUGUUGGGCCGAGUCCGGCCCAACGAUUUUUAGGGCUGGAGUCCGGCCCAGUUAGUUGGGCCAGCCCAGCCCACUUAAUAUAUUAAUAUUAAAGUAUAUUAUAUUAAUAUAUUAUUAUAUUAUGCAUGUAUAUAUAUAUAUAUAUAUAUUUUUUAAAAAUAAAAAAAUAAAAAAUUUUCCGAAAAGUCUAAAAAAAAAAUAUUGUUGUUUUCUUUUCAUAUAUAUAUAUAUAAUAUAUUUUGUUUUUAUAUACAUUGGUUUGUAUUUUUUAUACUAUGGAGAUACAAAUUCAGUGUUUAAAACACCCAUUUUCGUAAAAAAAAAAAUGUUUUCUUGCGUGUUGCAUACGGCCAAUACUCUAACAUGUUUUGAAUGUUCUUUUUAUAUAAAAAAUAUUGGAAGCUUUGAAGGUGUGUUUUCGCAUAGAUUUCUUAAACACAAAUUAUUUUCUUGCAUUUCUGGAUUUUACAACAUGUUUGUAAAACUCCAAAGGGUAUUGGCCAAUAUUCCAAAAACUAUAAAAAUCUUAUUUUGGGAGGAGAAAUUUCAUUUAUUAUUCACCGCUAAUGUUUGGAUGAAGAAAUCUUUAAAAGGAUGAACAUCCAAAAUAUUAUUGGGAGUAAUAAAUCUGCACACAUGUUUGAAAGAAGCCUUGAUUAUAAUCGAGGACAUUUCAAAAUUUUAAUUUUUUUACUCCACGGUUUACGAGUCGUGAAAGUAUAAAAUUGUUUUUUUUUAAGAGUUGUGAAUUUUCUUAGAUUUCUUUUUUUUCCUUUUCCUUGCGAUUUACGAGUCGCCAAACUCUUGAAAUACUAAGGGAAAAAUGAGCUUUCAAAGCACAUGGAAUCUCCUUAUAUUUCUAUCCAAAAUAAAUUGACGGGAUUAAAAACACCAACACCAUAGACAUAUAGAGCAAACCAAACACCAAGCAGCUUACCUUAGGUAGGGCGUACUAGGGGUGCUAGUACCUUCCCUUUACGCAACCAGUCCCUUGCCUUAGAAUCUCUGAAAGACCAGUUAGGGUUCCUAGUGACCAAAAUACUAGGUGGCGACUCCAAAGAACCAAAUCAUUUAAAACAAAACGAAAGUCGCCAGUCGAAUGUCGCAAAACAAAAAAUGGAUUUUUUUUUUUGGUGCGACAGAAUGGCGACUCCACUGGGGACCCUUGGACUAAGCUUGAUUUUUUUGUUUGUUUAUGCUAUGUGUUAUUGGUUUUUGUUUUCUUAUUGCUUUGUUUAAAAGCUUUAGCAUACAUCUUUACAUUCUAUCAUACAUGGCAUGGUCAUGCAUCACUUUAUUAUUGUUAUUAUGUUUUGAGGGCACACACAUGUAACUUUAAGAUUAAGUGGGGGACUAGCAGCUUGCCUUAUGACUUGAGUCAAGGUUUAAGUUUGUGUAAACCCCAACUCUUUGCUGAGUGUUUAGACUGAUUGUGAUUGGUACACGUGCCAUCCCACUAUCUGCUGGACCUCCAUAUCGCCUUUACGAGGGUGGUCACUGGAACAGCAAGAGACCCUCUUUUAGAGACCUAGUAGUAAACCUACCCUAUGUCUCACGUAAAAGAACUAGAACCUAUCCUUAGGGUGUAUGUUCCGAUAUAUUUUGCAUCAAAACAAGACUAAACCCCCAUGCAUUUUGAAUUGCAGGAUUUGUGAACGAAAUGACCAUCAUAAAUCUUCCAUCGUAGAGUAUGGAAAGAAUUCUGAACUGUCACAAUUGACUGAAGGAGACUGCCUUAGAAGCGAUGCUAAGAAGAUGUCACCAAUCAAGAACCUGAAUUGCAUAUUGAAUGAGGUGAACAAGUUAACGACUCAUUUUCAGAAUGUGGAUAAAGAUGCAUUUUUUAGGAAAUACGGACGUUUGAUGGAAAUCGCAAAGGUAGAAGUUUUAAGCCCAGCUGUGCGAGCCUUAGUUCAUUUUUGGGAUCCAGACUACCGAUGUUUCUCCUUUGGAAGCAUAGACUUGUGCCCCACGAUUGAGGAAUAUGGAUUGUUGACCGAGUUUCCCAACGACCUGUAUCGGAUUUAUUCUCCUUUGAGGUCCGACAAGAUCAUCCCUGAGCUGUCAAAACUGCUCAGAAUCUCCAACUUGGAAAAGUUUCUGGAAAAGAAUGGUACCGGUUUGAAAUGGAGGAUGCUAGAGUUGGAAAAGAAGUCAGGAGUAGAAAAAGAGAGAUUGAUUGCCUUAGGUAUAUUUGGCCUUGUGUUGUUCCCAAGUCAGACUGGUUUAGUAAGUUUGGAGGCCGCUGCUGCUUAUGUGGAGUAUGAGAACACACAGAUCAAUCCAGUGGUUGCUAUUUUAGCCGAAACAUUUUUGACACUUAACCAUUGUAGGAGGGCUGGAAAAGGAGCAAUGAGAUGCUGCACGCAACUGUUGUAUAUUUGGAUGGUUAGCCAUAUCGAAACAAAGAAACCUGUCUUCAAUAAUUUUUGGUGGUUCACCCAAAAACCCCUAAAGUUAGUAGAAGAAGAAGAAUGGGGAGAUCUAGACAACCAGGGUUGGGUUGAUAAAUUAGAAGGUUUACCUAAUAGCGAUUUUAAAUGGAGAGCCCCAUGGGUAACGACAGUGAAGGUCCUAAUGAGUUGUGGACAAAGGCGUUGGGUACCCUUGGUGGGGAUUACGGGUUAUGUGAGUUAUGCUCCGGCUUUAGUGGUAAGACAACUUGGGGGCAUGCAGUUUGUUCCCAGUGACGGGGCAGCACUUUGCACCUGCCAUUCCCAUUCAGCCCCCUCAAGCUCACGUCACUGUAGAUUUAACAGCUGAGGGGCCCUCUGAUAAUAGGUCCAAUGGUUUUAUGAACGAUGACAAGAUAUCAGCUUUGCAAGAAAGGUUAAGAGCAGUCGAGGGAAAUAACUGGUUUGACCCCAUGCGAGCAUCGGAAAUAUGCUUGGUACCAAACAUCACAGUACCAAAAGAUUUUAGGAUACCAGAGUUUAUAAGGUACACUGGGUUGGAAUGCCCAAACACUCACCUUCGAUCUUAUUACAAUAAGAUGGUUGAGGUGAUUCAUGACGAUAAGUUACUGAUCUACUUUUUCCAAGACAGUCUAUCAGGGUCUGCGCUAAGUUGGUACAUGAGGCUGGAUAAUGCCAAGAUUAAGAAAUGGAAGGAUUUAGUGGAGGCUUUCCUGAAGCAAUACAAGUUCAAUUUGGAAAUUGCUCCAGAUCGAACGAGCCUUAUGUCAAUGGAAAAGAGAAGCCAAGAGUCAGUGAGGGCUUAUGUUCAACCCCCUUUGAUAGAAAUGGAGAUGGUGACUUUGUUCGCCAAUACCUUCAAGGCACCCUACUAUGAGCAUUUAAUGGGUAGCUCAUCUCAACAUUUCUAUGAUGUUGUACGUGUGGCGGAAAGGAUAGAGCAAGGAAUUAAAGCUGGGCGCAUAGCGGAGCCUUUAGAGAAGAAAGGUUUUAUUGGAAGGAAAAGAGAAGGGGACGUUAACAAUUUGGAAGGCGGGUACAAAGGCAAAAAAGUAAAUAUCCACAGUCCACAAGCACCUACCUCUCAAUUCUCACGCAUAAACUUUAACCAACCUUUUUCACCUAAUCGAACAAAUAACCAACCAAACUACCAAAAUCACUACCAAAGACCCCACAAAGGAUACACUUCAAAACAACUGUCGUCGUUACCCAUGCCUUUGAAGGACAUGUAUGCCAAACUUUUGAGCAUUGGACAAAUAGCUCCUAUCCCUACACUACCACUACAACCAACAUUCCCAAUUUGGUACAAGCCCGAUUUGACUUACGAGUACCAUGGGGGUAAUCCCGGGCAUGGGAUUGAAACCUGCUAUGCAUUCAAGAAGAGGUUAUUGGAACUUAUUAAGUUAGGAUGGGUAUCCUUCGAAGACAAGCCCAAUGUUAAUUCAAACCCAUUGCCUAAACAUGUUCCAAACAGUGGCGGAAUAGGCAUGAUCGAAGUGGGAAAUCAAUGCAAGGUGUUGAAGGUGCCGAUGAAAAGGUUGUACGACAUGUUAGUACAAUCAGGAUUUCUAGCGGCGAAGGGAGUAAGCCAAUUGGAGAGAAGUGACUACUGUGAGUUCCAUGGAAGAGAUGGACAUCACAUUGAGGAUUGCACCGAGUUUUGUGGAAAGAUCGCUAAAAUGUUGAGGAUGGGACAAUUGAGGAUUGAACCCAUGGAGAGCAGGUGUGAAGUAAGUAUGAUGGAAGGUCAAGAUAAGAUGGCAGGAGUUUGCAGGGUUCAACAGACUGCUAAUGGGCCCCCAAGGCUGAUCUUGGUUAAACCGUCCUGCACAAAAGAGAAUCACAAUGCCAUGCCGUACAAUUAUGGGUAUGCCUCCAACGUUUGAGCUCCUCUUCCUUUGUUCCAGACGGAGAUAAGUGGUUUGACCAGAAGUGGUCGUUGCUUUACGCCUGAAGAAAUGGAGGAAGGAAAAGGGUAAAUAAGUGGUAGAUCUGGACAAAGCACCAGAAGUUAAUAAACCAGUAACGGAAGAGGAGUCGAAUGAAUUUUUGAAGUUGAUCAAGCAUAGCGAAUAUUGCAUAGUGGAUCAACUAAAAAAGACUCCAGCUCGGAUCUCCCUUAUGUCCUUGAUACUCAGCUCUGAGCCGCAUCGAAGUGCCUUGCAAAAGGUAUUAAAUGAGGCAUAUGUACCCCAGGAAAUUGAGCAUAAAACUAUGGAGCAUUUAGUGGGGAGGAUCCAUGCAACUAAUUACCUCUACUUCACGGCUGAUGAGCUUGAUGCUGAAGGUACCGGACACAACAAGCCUUUAUACAUUACGGUUAGGUGCAAAGACUGCCUCGUAGGGAAGGUGCUCGUUGAUAAUGGCUCGGCCCUGAACGUAUUGCCAAAGCACAUUCUGGAGGAAAUGCGAUUGAUGAAUCUCAUAUGAAGCCAAGUACUAUGAUGGCAGAGCAUAUGAUGGCUCACCUAGGCCAAUACUUGGGACUUUAGAAGUGGAGCUAUAUGUGGGACCGCAAAUGUUCCUAGUGACACUUCAGGUUAUGGAUAUUCACCCUUCCUAUAGUAUGUUGUUGGGAAGACCUUGGAUCCACGCAGCGGGGGCAGUAGCUUCAUCAUUACACCAAUGUCUGAAGUACAUCAUGAAUGGGAUGUUAGUAACCGUCAGGGCUGAGGAGGCAAUAGCCAUGACAAAGAAUGUGGCUGUGCCUUUCAUCGAAGCGGAGGAUUGCAAGGAUAACAAUAUCCAUGCUUUUGAGAUCGUGAAACACUGACUGGGUACCAGAGAACACCGUGCUAAGAAGGCCAAGGAUCUCAGAAGCAGCAAGGAUGGCAAGUCUAUGUUUCUUGAACCGUGGGGUCCCACGUCGAUAUAACCUCGCUUGCGGAAUACCAGAAGGGGCUAAUCCGACAAGGAAGAGAAAGCUGAUCAAAGAUUUGGGCUAGGAUAUCAACCUAACCAAGAGGAUUAUCGUUGGGCUGCUGAUCGGAGAAGGACAAGAAGGAUGGCUAGAAUUAAAGGAAGAGAUCUUGAAGAAGAACAGCUGGAAAUACCUCCCCUUAGCGUAUCAUUCCCAAGAGCUGCAUACAUAGUGCAACAUGAUAAGGGAGCUGAAAGCCUGGGUCUAGAGCUGGCAAAUAUGAGCAUAAACACCUUGGAGGGAAGGAAGGAGAAGGAAAAAGGUGAUGCGAAAGAAAUAGCGGGAAAAGAAGAUGAAGUGCUGCCACAACUGACAAUCCAUACACUAGAAGAAGUCUCCGCCAAGACCUUUGUGCGCAAGUUGGCUCAAGGUGAAAAGUUUUAGAAUUGGGUGACCCAAGAAGCUCCAGUGGUUUUCAAAAUGAAUCCUGAAAGCGGAUCUCCUACAACAUCACAUACAUUUAGCAUCAAGAAUAAAUGGCCAAACUUGAACGAGCAUGUAAUAGCUAUGGAAGAAGAAGAGUGGGAUGAAAGCAAUAUCAGUGAAUUCACCAGGCUAGUAGAACAACAGGAACAGACUUGGAAGCCUGCCGCCGAGGAACUCGAAACCAUCAAUGUGGGCAAUGGUCAGCUCAAGAAAGAGUUGAAAAUAGGUACCUUAAUUACUUCUGAACAAAGGAUAAAAAUGAUCACCCUAUUACAAGAAUAUUCAGAUGUCUUUGCUUGGUCCUAUGAAGAUAUGCCCGGUUUGGAUACAAGUAUUGUAGAACACAAGAUACCGUUGGAAGAAGGUUAUAAGCCAGUCAAGCAGAAACUGAGGAGGGCCCACCCGGACGUCUGGAUCAAGGUCAAGGCAGAACUCGAAAAGCAAUGGGAUGCUGGCUUUCUAGAAGUAGUUAGAUAUCCACAAUGGGUAUCUAACAUUGUUGUGGUGCCUAAGAAGGAAGGGAAGAUUAGAGUUUGUGUGGAUUUUCGGAAUUUGAAUAGAGCUAGCCCUAAGGAUGAUUUUCCUCUACCACACAUAGAUGUUUUAGUGGAUAAUGCUGCCCGAAGUUCCACUUAUUCCUUUAUGGAUGGUUUUUCAGGAUACAACCAAAUAAAAAUGGCUUCAGAGGAUAAGGCGAAAACAACUUUUGUCACACCUUGGGGGACCUACUGCUACAAGGUCAUGCCAUUUGGGUUAAAGAACGCAGGUGCAACAUAUCAAAGAGCAAUGGUGACUCUAUUCCACGACAUGAUGCACAAAGAAAUUGAGGUGUAUGUAGAUGAUAUGAUUGCCAAGUCUAAAAAGGGACAGAUCAUGUGGAAGUUUUGAGGAAGUUAUUUGAGAGGUUGAGGAAGUAUGAACUAAGGCUUAAUCCUGCAAAAUGUUCAUUCGGAGUUAAAUCGGGCAAGCUGUUGGGAUUUGUGGUAAGUGAUAGAGGUAUAGAGGUGGAUCCAGAUAAAGUAAGGGCCAUUCAGCUAUGUCAUCCCCUAAGACGGAGAAAGAAGUAAGAGGAUUCUUGGGAAGGUUGAAUUACAUUGCUCGUUUAUAGCUCAGCUAACAACAACAUGCGAGCCUAUAUUCCGACUACUAAGGAAAAAGAAUCCUGGAACCUGGAAUGAGGAGUGUGAGGAGGCAUUCAAUAAAAUCAAGCAUUAUUUACAAAAUCCACCUUUACUGGUUCCUCCUGUAUCAGGAAAACCUCUAGUAUUAUAUCUAACCGUAACUGAAGUAGCCAUGGGAUGUGUAUUGGGUCAGCAUGAUGAAACCGGAAGGAAGGAAAGAGCUAUUUAUUACUUGAGUAAGAAAUUCACUGAAUGUGAGUCCAGAUACACGGAGAUAGAAAGGCUUUGUUGUGUGUUGGUGUGGGCGGCAAAGAGGUUGCGACAUUACAUGUUAUACUAUACCACUUGGUUGAUUUCAAAAUUGGAUCCCCUGAGGUAUAUUUGUAAUAAGCCUUUUUCUCUCAAGUCGAAUUUCAAGAAGUUGAAUUGCAAGGUGGCAGGUUUUAUUAGCAGAAUAUGACAUAGUGUACAUGACAAGGAAAGCCGUAAAAGGGAGUGCAAUCGCAGACCAUCUGGCCGAUAAUGCUGUUGAAGAUUACGAACCUUUGGAUUUUGAUUUCCCUGAUGAAGAUAUAUUGUCAAUAGAAAAGGAAGAAGAGAAGACAGAUUGGUGGACCAUGUUUUUUGACGGGGCAGUAAAUGUAUAUGGUAACGGGGCAGGGGCGGUAAUAAUCUCUCCUAAUAAGAAACAAUACCCAGUUUCGGUCAAACUACAUUUCGAGUGCACCAACAAUACAGCUGAGUAUGAAGCUUGUAUACUCGGUUUAGAAGCAGCAUUGGAGUUAAAGAUAAAGAAGAUAGAUGUAUAUGGGGAUUCAAUGUUGAUCAUCUGCCAGGUCAAAGGGGAAUGGCAAACCAAAGAGGAAAAGUUGAGGCCGUACCAGGAAUACCUAUCCAUGCUAGCAAAGGAAUUUGAAGAAAUUAGAUUCACCCAUCUGGGAAGGGAGGGGAACCAUUUUGCGGAUGCUUUGGCCACACUAGCUGCUAUGACUACCAUUGACCUCAAGUGCAAGGUACAACCGGUACACAUUGAUAUUAGAAAUGAUCCAGCUCACUGUUGUUUAGUUGAAGGAGAGAUGGACGGACAACCUUGGUAUUACGAUAUCAAGAAUCUUGUGCAGAAUCAGGAAUAUCCGGUGGGAGCUUCUAAAACGGAUAAGAAAACCUUGAGAAGGUUGGCUAUAGACUUCUAUUUAGAUGGAGAGAUUUUAUAUAAAAGAUCAUUUGAUGGAACCCUGUUAAGGUGUUUGGAUGAGGCAGAUGCUAGAAAGGCAUUAAGAGAGGUCCAUGAGGGGAUUUGCUCAACCCAUGCUAGCGGGCAUAUGAUGGCAAGGAAAAUCCAAAGGGCUGGUUAUUUUUGGAUGACACUAGAAAAAGAUUGUAUCGACUAUGUCAGAAAAUGUCACAAAUGUCAAAUUUACAGUGACAAGGUCAAUAUGCCACCAGCUCCUCUGUUUAACUUAACAUCUCCAUGGCCCUUCGCGAUGUGGGGAAUUGAUGUGAUUGGACCUGUAAACCCAAAAGCGAGCAAUGGUCAUAGAUUUAUCCUCGUGGCUAUUGACUACUUCACAAAAUGGGUAGAAGCCGGGUCAUUUGCUCAUGUGACACAAAAAGUGGUGAAGAAAUUUAUUGAGAGAGAUUUGAUAUGUCGGUAUGGUCCACCAGAAAAGAUUAUAACUGAUAAUGCCCAGAAUUUCAACGGCAAGAUGAUAAUAGAGCUCUGCACUAAAUGGAAAAUCAAGCAUUCCAAUUCUUCGCCAUAUAGACCAAAGAUGAAUGGGGCGGUAGAAGCUGCUAACAAGAAUGUCAAAAAGAUUAUUCAGAAGAUGGUAGUCACCUAUAAGGAUUGGCAUGAGAUGUUGCCAUUUGCCCUUCAUGCAUAUCGCACCGCAGUUCGAACCUCGACAGGGACUACCCCAUAUUCUUUGGUGUACGGUAUGGAGGCAGUGAUGCCUUUGGAAGUGGAAAUCCCGUCGUUAAGAGUGUUAAUAGAUUCUGAGUUAGAAGAGGCCGAGUGGGCCAGAGUGAGACACGAGCAACUGAACCUGAUCAGUGAAAAGAGGAUGGCCGCAAUAUGUCAUCACCAACUUUACCAGAAACGAAUGGCUAAGGCGUAUGAUAAGAAGGUUAGACCGCGGUUGUUUCAAGAAGGGGAUCUAGUAUUGAAGAAAAUAUUGUCAUUACCCGGAGAUGAUCAAAGCAAAUGGGCACCAAAUUAUGAGGGUCCUUAUGUAGUAACAAAGGCAUUCUCAGGAGGAGCGUUGAAGUUAGCUAGAAUGGAUGGAGAAGACCUAGCUCGACCUGUGAAUUCUGACUCUGUAAAAAGAUAUUAUGCUUGAUGUAGGCCCCUAAAUCAAUAAAGCAAAGUUUGGCCAUUGAUUUCUUUCCUUUUGUGCAUUGAUCUCACAACAAUCAUUUUUGCAUUAAUCCCAACAGUGCAUCUCAUCACUCAUUAAAAAGUUUAGCAUCGACUGAACGAAUUUCUUCUCUAUAUAAAAGCUCAAACUAGGAUCACACCCCUACACUGGGGGCAAUACAAGAUGUUUUUAUGAAAAGUUUUACGGAAGCCUAUAGAUUUGAAAACCAAGCUAAAGCAUUUGACAAAAGCAUGACAAAAAGGCAAUAACAAGUCUUACAUUUUGAGAAAAGGACUACUUGAGGAAAGUCAAAGACUUCUUCUCCAAGAAUAUGAUAAGUAAAAAAGGCAACACGAGAGAUGAAUCCAGCAUACGACUUCAAAAGCAAGCUCAUGUUACGAGAGAGUCUCAUGAACUAGAAAAGAGGAUGGGGCCUAUGUUUCAAAACCAGGUACGAAUGCAUGCAUUGCAUCUAAUCAUAAAUCAUUGCAUGUAUGUUUUUUAUCGUUACAGGAGGAGAUCUUAGUGCAUUCCAACAAGAUUGUGGACGAAGAAAGAAUCAUUGAGUUGAUUCUAGAACAACAAGAAGAGAAGAUAAUAUUUUUCAAAUCCUGCCAGCAGGAAGAACGACAUCGAUAGCAAUGGUAAAAGGGAAUCGUCAGAUGGGAUUCCAAGUUGUUUGGUUAAAAGAGAUCGCCAGAAGGGAUCUCGUAUUUCGAUGAAGGUCGCCAGAAGGGACUUCAUAUUUCAGCUUUGAAUAAAAGGAAUCGCCAGAUGGGAUUCCAAGUUGUUUGAGAUCGCCAGAAGGGAUCUCGUGUUUCACUAUUUGGAGGUCGCCAGAUGGGACCUCGUAUUUCAUGUUGGUUAAAAGGAAUCGCCAGAUGGGAUUCCAAGUUGUUUGAGAUCGCCAGAAGGGAUCUCGUUUCACUAUUUGGAGGUCGCCAGAUGGGACCUCAUAUGUCAUGUUGGUAAUAAGGAAACGCCAGAUGGGAUUCCAAGUUGUUUGAGAUCGCCAGAAGGGAUCUCGUAUGUCACUAUGUUGGAGGUCGCUAGAUGGGACCUCAUAUUCCAUGUUUGUUAAAAGGAAUCGCCAGAUGGGAUUCCAAGUUGCUUAAAGGAGAUCGCCAGAAGGGAUCUCGUGUUUCACUAUUUGGAGGUCGUCGGAUGGGACCUCGUAUAAUCCGAAACCAGGGACCAAUUUGAAAAAGGCCCAAAGAUAGAGGGGGCUGUUUGGAAUUGAUUCAGGGGUCUAAUUGAAGAAAUUGGAAGUUUAUUGAUCAAUUAACGGCUCAAUUGCAUAAAUCAGAAGCCAAGGACCAAAGUAGAAAACGCGGUCAACUAUGGGGACGGGGACCGAAAUGGGCAGGGACGCAAUUGAAAGGAACAAAAAUAAUUGGGGGACUGAUGUGAACAUUGGCGCGUUUCUGGCACCACAUUUGAAUGAAACGGCGCGUUUUCUCCAAAACGAUGCCGUUUCAUACAUUUUUUUUUUUUUUAAAAAAAAAGAGCAAACGGUGCCGUUUUGAACGGCACUGUUUCCCUUUCUUCUUCCCCCCCGCAUGCGUAGCAGGGAAGAGGAAAACCGGGGUUUUUGUUCCCGCCUCUCUCCUCACGUGCCCUGACCCGACGCUCCACUCCUUGGGACCACCGAAGCCGAAGCCAAUGGCCGACCGCCCGCCGCGCCACCGAAACCGAGGGAAACCCACCUUGGCAGCGGCGCCUGCCGACCAGCGCGCCCCACUCCCUAUGCAGCCAUGCCCCGGUAUCACUACAAAUAGAGAAGAAACAGAGUAAACAGGGGACAGAGAGAAAAAGAGGAGAAGGAGGAGGAAAAAGAAAGAAAAAACCAAGACAAAAGGAGAGAGAGAGAGACCGAAGGAGAGAGAACCCACCGAACUUAAGAAACAACCACCGAAAACUCAAAGUGGAGAAGCUUGGGAUAGUUGAAACCGAGAGGGAACUCAAGAAGCUAAAACAGAAGUAACGAAUCGGGUGAACGACGACGAACAGUUGGAAAACAUCCGUAGCGCCGCCUGGAGACGCCGUCCGUGCGCCACGACACCACAGCACCGUCAGCAAGCCAUCGUCUCCGCCGCGCCAGGUACAUCUCCUCCCCCUGCACAUUUUCUUGUUAAUCCGGGCGCAAGUUUUUGCCUCCUGCAUGCAGAAUCGUUUCUGCAUGCAGGAGGCGGGGGGGGAAAUAAUCCCCCCCCGUUCAUUCUUUUUUUUUUUUCUGUUGGGCCAGACAGGGUCUGGCCCAGUGAUAUGGGUAUGGGCCAGGGGGAUUCUGGCCCAGCCCGGCGGUCUGGGCGGGUCCGGCCCAGACCAAGGUAGGUUGUUGUUGGGCCGAGUUCGGCCCAACGAUUUUUGGGGCUGGAGUCCGGCCCAGCCCACUUAAUAUAUUAAUAUUAAAGUAUAUUAUAUUAAUAUAUUAUUAUAUUAUGCAUGUAUAUAUAUAUAUUUUUUAAAAAAAAAUUAAACAAAAAUAAAAAAAUUUCCGAAAAGUCUAAAAAAAAAAUAUUGUUGUUUUCUUUUCAUAUAUAUAUAUAUUUGUUUUUAUAUACAUUGGUUCGUAUUUUUUAUACUAUGGAGAUACAAAUUCAGUGUUUAAAAUACCCGUUUUCGUAAAAAAAAAAUGUUUUCUUGCGUGUUGCAUACCGCCAAUACUCUAACAUGUUUUGAAUGUUCCUUUUAUAUACAAAAAAUAUUGGAAGUUUUGAAAAUGUGUUUUCGCAUAGAUUUCUUAAACACAAAUUAUUUUCUUGCAUUUCUGGAUUUUACAACAUGUUUGUAAAACUCCAAAGGGUGUUGGUCAAUAUUCCAAAAACUAUAAAAAUCUUAUUUUGGGAGGAGAAAUUUCAUUUAUUAUUCACCGCUAAUGUUUGGAUGAAGAAAUCUUUAAAAAGAUGAACAUCCAAAAUAUUAUUGGGAGUAAUAAAUCUGCACACAUGUUUGAAAGAAGCCUGGAUUAUAAUCGAGGACAUUUCAAAAUUUUAAUUUUUUUUACUCCACGGUUUACGAGUCGUGAAAGUAUAAAAUUGUUUUUUUUUAAGAGUUGUGAAUUUUCUUAGAUUUCUUUUUUCUCUUUCCUUUUCCUUGCGAUUUACGAGUCGCAAACUCUUGAAAUACUAAGGGAAAAAUGAGCUUUCAAAGCACAUGGAAUCUCCUUAGAUUUCUAUUCAGAAUAAAUUGACGGGAUUAGAAAACAACAACACCAUAGAUCAUAGAGCAAACCAAACACCAAGCAGCUUACCUUAGGUAGGGCGUACUAGGGGUGCUAGUACCUUCCCUUUACGCAACCAGUCUCUUGCCUUAGAAUCUCUGAAAGACCAGUUACGGUUCCUAGUGACAAAAAAAAUACUAGGUGGCGACUCCAAAGAACCAAAUCAUUUAAAACAAAACGAAAGUCGCCAGUCGAAUGUCGCAAAACAAAAAUUAGAUUUUUUUUUUUGGGUGCGACAAUCCAUAUUAGAGAGAUAUCCUCUGCUGAUUGUGUAACUGAAGAGAGAUUUACUCUUCUCAAUCAAAACUGAUUGAGUAACCGAAGAUCAGUUUUAAUUCUUAGUAAUUAUAGUUUUUAAUGCUAUUUAUAAUUCUUGUAACAGUCAAACAAAUUCUGCUAUAUAUAUAGCUGUUUAUUGUAAACUGAAUCAAUAAGAAAAACUAUUUUCUACAUGGUAUCAUCCUAAACGUACGAUCCUCACCUAUUUCUCUUCUUUUAGCGUUUCUCUUCCUUUUUCCUUUUUCUUUCUCAUGGCCACCAUCUCUUCGACUCUCUCUCAAAAUACUGCUCAAUUCACCAAACUUACUGAAACCAAUUAUCUCACUUGGCUUCGGCAAAUCAAACCUUAUCUUCAUGGUGCCAACCUUUGGGGAUAUGUUGAUGGCACCAUUCCUGAACCAUCUCUCACCAUCCUGAAUACUGCUUCUGCUUCUACUUCUGACACUCAAUCUGCAAGAUCCAUUUCUAAUCCUGAUCAUGCUAGUUGGUUCAUCAUCGACCAACAAAUUGUUAGCAUCCUCACCACCACUCUAACAGAAAACAUUGCACAACUUACCAUUGGUUUCGACACAUCAAAGGCAAUUUGGGACUGUCUUGAACGUCACUUUUCCCAAAAUUUUGUAGCAAGUGCAACCAAUCUCAAAAUGCAACUUCUUGAUCUCAAUAAAGGUACUCAAUAUGUUGAUACUUAUCUUCGUCAUGCUAAAUCAAUUGUUGAUGCAUUGAUUUCUAUUAAUAAGCUUGUUCCUGAUGAGGAUUUGGUCAUCACCACUCUUCAUGGUCUUGGCCCUGAUUAUCUCAUGCUUCGUACUGCCCUCUGCUCCUAGAUUUCACUGAAUUUCGGGCUCGAAUUCUCUCUUUUGAUGCUCAACUAUCUCGUCCUGUUAAUUCUCCUACAACCAUCACUCUUUUCAAUCACACUCAUGCUCCCUCUACCCGUCGUGAUUACCGCCCUAAUACUGGUCAUCAAUUCCCCACCAAUGGUCGUCCUAACAAUGGUCGCUUUAAAAGUGGUUGCUAUUCUCAACAGCGCGCCACUCGACAGUCACAAGUUGGGUUUUCAUUUCCUAUGCAACAGCAACAUGUGCCUCCAUCAGGGCCAUUUACUUCACCAGCUUGGGCUACUCGUCCUCCACCAAAUGGUAUUCUUGGCCCAGAACCUCAAUGGUGUCCAAAUUGUCACUCAAGUCACCAUGGACUUUGUCGCACGUGUGCGACGGCGCGGCGAUCGUCCACCCUCAAGGAAAAAAUCGGAAAUAUUUAUUCCUGGCAAAAUAAGGAGAGACAAGGAAUUCUUGUCUCUACAAGUGAAAAUAUGGAUUGGGAGUCGCCACCUAGUAUUCUGGUUACUAGAAACCUUAACUGGUCUUUAGAGAUCGAGUACGGAGACUGGUUGCGUAAAGGGAAGGUAUUAGCACCCCAACUACGCCCUACCUAAGGUAGGCUGCAUUGUUUUAAAUGUCUGAUAAAAUCUAAAAUCAUGUUGUGGUUUUUGAAUUGUUGGUUCGUGUACGGUUUAAGAAAAGUCCUCCUCCGUAAGGAGAUCCUUAUCUUCAUCGGGUAAAAAACUAACUAUUCGAAGUCAUCAAAAGAAAAUAUCUUUUUAAUAUCAGGAAUACGAUUUACGUAUAAAUUCAUAAUCCUUGAUACUAAAAUCAAACAAAAUAAAAUAUUUUGUUGUUUUUGAGAUUUUGGCCAAUGUUCUCUUGACUUUAAUAAACUGGUUAUUAAAGCCAAAAUGCAUGCUAAAAUAUUGUUUUUUUGACAUAUGAAAAAUACGAUAUGAUUUUUAGAUUUGAGACACUUGGCCGUAUGCACAAAAAUGUUUUUUUUAAUUUUUUUGUAUUUUUGGAAGUUUGUGACAAAAACCGGGUAUUUUAAUACCCGAUUUGUAUUUUUACGACAUAAAAAUACUACCCGAUAUUAAUAAAAAUAACAUAAAUAAAAAAUGGAACAUCAUAAAUAUUUUUUAAAACAAUAAUAUUUUUUUUUUUUUUAUGGGCCGGAUCAGGCCCAAUUGCAUGGGCUGGGCCAAACCUGGCCCUUUUACAUGGGCUGGGCCGAACAUGGCCCAAAUGCAUGGGCUGGUUACUGUGCACAUAGUAACCGGGUUACUGUGUGCACAGUAACCAGAGAAUUAAUCUGCGGGUUACUGUGCACAUGCACAGUAACCGUGAAUUAAUUAGCGAGUUACUGUGCACAGCACAGUAACUCGCUAAUUAAUCUGCAUGCAGAACAAAAAAAACGACGGAAACGCUACCUGCGGUGGUGAUGUUCGACUUUCUUCUCUGCUUCUUCUUCUUCUGCUUUCUUCUCUCUGUCUCUUCUCUUCUUUCUCUCUCUUCUUCUCUUUUUUUUUUUUUUUUUCAGUGCCCCUCCCCUGUUUUUAUAGGCAAAAACAGGGGGGCGGUGUCGUGGUGGGGCGGCCACUGUCGGCCGCCCCUCCACUAUCAACUCAGAAGGAUAACAAGGAGGAGACAAGUGGGUGAUUGCGGGCGUCUUAUUGCGCGAAAAACGGGAAAGAAAUUAGGCGAAAAGGGGAAGAAAAAAUCUUCUUCUUCCCCUGCCUCGCGCGUCCAGGGGAAGAAGAAGAGCUACAGUGCCGUCAAAACGGCACUGUUUUGGGCUUCUGUUUUUUUUUUUUUUUUUUUUUUUAGCAACAGUGAAUGAAACGGCGCCGUUUUGGUCAAAACGCGCCGUUUCAUUUAAAAGGAAAAGGCGCCAAAAGCAUCAGAUUCAAAUUUCGGCCCUCAUUUGCGCGCGUUUUACAAUUUAGUCCUUGGUCUCGGAUUUCUUCAAUUAAGUCCCUAAUUGGCCAUUAAACUUCAAUAUUUAUGCAAUUAAGCCCCUGAUUUGACCAAAUUAACUUCCAAAAAUUAUAAUUUGACCCCAGAAAAUUAAUUUCUUCUAAUUAAAGCCCAAAUUAACUCCAAAAUCAAUUUUUUUGCAAUUAAAACUCAUAAAUUCAAUUAAACCUUCAAUAAAAUUUAAUUGAGUCCAUAAACUUCUGAUUUUGCAUUUUUCUUCCUCAAAUUGAAUUUUCUUUAUCAUCGGGGCUCUCAUCAGUCAAUGAUAUACUGUCAAAAAUUAAUUUUUGAUUUUUGAACAUCCUCAAUCAAUUUUUGAGCAUUUUUAGGGCGCUCUGGCAUUUUUUCACUGUUAUAUUUUUUGAUAAUAUAUUUUUUAUAAUUUUAUUAUUUUUUAUGUGGGGACCCAGAAAUGGGUUACAACAGACUUUCUCAAUGUCCACAUAGAUUUUUUGGUCCAAACACUGCCACUCCAUUUGCUGGUGUACAUUAUGUUGCUGAUCCAAAUUGGUACCCAGACACAGGUGCAACUCAUCACAUGACAGCCAUGCCCAUCAAUAAUUCUCAAUCUUAUGGUGGGCCGUAUAAUGUCUAUAUGGGUAAUGGGGACUCAAUGUUUGUUUCCCAUACUGGUAACCUUCCCUUUUCAUUAGGCUCUUCUACCUUCACUCUACAAAAUGUCUUUCGUAUUCCAUUUAUUCGUAAAAAUCUUCUAUAUGUUGCUCGUUUCACUAAAGAUAAUCAUGUUUUCUUUCUCUUUGCACCUGACUUCUAUCAAAUCUAUUGCUUACGCACUGGAUGUCUAUUGUUUCAGGGCCCUUGUAAAGAUGGUUUGUAUCCGCUUAAUCUAUCAAACGUCUCUACUUCUCCACAAGCCCUUGCUUCCAUUCACUCCUCCAUCUAGCACAAUCGUUUGGGUCAUCCAUCAUCAAAUGUCUUUGCACAUCUAAGUCCUAUAAUUAAUUCCAAAUUGUCUUUUCCUUCUUUUUGUCGAGACUGUGCACUUAGCAAGUCUCACCAAUUACCUUUUACUUUCACCAAAGAGACUACUAGCACUCCUUUUCAUAUUAUACAUAGUGAUGUUUGGUCCUCCUCUACCAUUUCUGUAAGUGGUUUCAAAUAUUAUGUUCUAUUUACUGAUGAAUUAUCACGUUACGCUUGGAUUUACCCUAUGCGUUGCAAAAAUGAAGUCCUCACUCAUUUUCAAACUUUAGUUGCCAAGAUUCAAAACAUCUUCCACUAAACCAUUCAAUUUCUUCAAAGUGAUAAUGGGACAGAAUAUGUCAAUAAUGCAUUUUCUCAUUAUUGUAAAUCCUUGGGAAUUCAACAAAGAUUUUCUUGCCCCCACACACCACAACAAAAUGGCCUUGCAGAACGUAAGCACCGCCAUAUUGCUACAAUGACUCGUAGUCUCCUUCUCACUUCUGGUACUCCACAUAAUCUUUGGGUUGAAGUUGUUUUAACCUCCAUUUACCUUAUUAAUCUUCUUCCCACACCCACUCUUCAUUGGGAUACUCCACAUACUCGUCUCUAUAGCAGUCCUCCUUCCUAUUCCUCUCUUCGAGUUUUUGGAUGUUCAUGUUUUCCUCAUCUUGGGUCUUAUGUCUCCGAUAAACUUUCAAGUCAUAGCAAUGAGUGUAUCUUUCUUGGUUACAAUUCUCAACACAAAGGUUAUUGUUGUCUAGAUCGAAACGACGUUAUGCUAAACUUUGUGAUAAGAAUAAUUGAUAGAGCUUCAAAAGCUUCAGCAGCUCUUGUGAAUACUUUUGAUGACUUAGAUCAUGAUGUUCUGGUUGCUCUCUCAUCUAUGUUUCCUCCGAUUUAUUCUGUUGGUCCUCUUAAUUUGCUUCUUGAUCAAACACGGAAUGAUGAUCUAGCAUCAAUUGGAUCCAGUCUGUGGAAAGAAGAGACUGAAUGCCUGCAUCUGUUGUCUACGUGAAUUUUGGAAGCAUCACCGUCAUGAAUCCACAGCAACUUGAGGAGUUUUCUUGGGGACUUGCUAACAGCAAGAAGAAUUUUUUAUGGAUAAUCAGGCCUGAUCUUGGCAGGGGCGAAUCAGCGGUUUUGCCUCCAGAGUUUCUUGAAGAGACUAGAGAGAGAGGCCUGAUGGCGAGCUGGUGUGCGCAGGAAAAAGUCCUGAAGCAUUCAUCGAUAGGAGGGUUUUUAAGUCACAUGGGGUGGAAUUCCACCAUUGAAAGCCUGUCCAACGGCGUGCCAACGCUAUGUUGGCCUUUCUUCUCCGAACAACAAACUAACUGUAAGUUUGCUUGCGUUGAUUGGGGUGUUGGAAUGGAAAUUGAAAGUGAUGCAAAUAGAGAUGAAGUGGAGAAGCUUGUGAUAGAGUUAAUUGAUGGGGAGAAAGGUAAGGAAAUGAAAAGGAAGGCAAUGGAAUGGAAGUCAAAGGCUGAAGCGACAACGGGUGUUAAUGGUUCAUCAUCCAUGAAUUUUGACAAACUUGUCAACGACGUGCUCCGCUUCCAAAAACCUUGAAUUACCUUCUUUUGAUGAAAUUGUUGUUACAUCUGCAGGUUGUCUGCCAGUAGCUUUUUUAUUGAUCAUCCAUUCGCAUUAGCAUGGAUGACGUUUUAUAUUUAAAUUGGCUUCUUGAAAAUGCUAUAAAAUAUCUCCCUUUUUUUAAUAAUAAAAAUGGGGGCUGAAGCCCAAAACUUAAGAAACUAUAAUUUACAAUUAUGUAUUGCAGGGCACUUUCCUUUUCCUUUUCUAUAUAUGAAAAUCCUCUCUCUCUUUUGUCAUUUUCAUUUUUAUGAUAUAAUAAUUAUGUAUUAUUGCAGGUCAAUUUCUCUAGAAGAAUUAGAUACAAAAUAAUUUUGGUAUAGUUUACUGGAUAUGGACCUGCCCUACUCACUCCUUCACGGAGCCAUAUUAUAACAAAUGCAAUUUAAAAAAAAAAAAAAGAAUUCAAUUUAAAAUAUCAAAAUCAAUUAAAAAAAAAGUAACCUUGGUCUAAAUCAACAUUAAUCAUAAAGUAUUUUAUAACUAAUCAUCGAUGCAUAUAUAUCAAUUUACACUUUGAAUAUUCAUCAUUAAAACUAUUUUAUUAUCUCUACUUAGUUGUAGUUAAUUAGAAAACAAGCAAUCUAAUUAAUCCUAACUACUAGACAAAUUAAAACAAGCACUAAAAUUUAAUAUAGUAGUAGCCUUAAAAAUUAAAGAAAUUGAUGAAGCUAACCAACAUAAGUCUAAGCAGUUACAUUUAAUUUAGUCAAAACCUCUUUCUAAAAUUUACUAAUUUCUAACGCAACAAACUAUUAAAUCUCAAUUCCUUUAUAAAUUAGAGAGAUCAAGCAAUUACAGAUUUAAUAUCUAACAUAGUAGUAGAUUGCAAUGAAUAAUAAACCAGAUGCCUCAUAGUAAUCAAACAUGACAAUCAUGAAAAAUAGGCAUCAAAGAACAUCCAAUACACAAAGCAUACAUUAAACAAUGAAAACAAAUUAGAUCUUACAAAUGUAUUGAUUCUAAGACUUCCAUUUCCUUCGACCAAGUCAAAUUUAGUUACACAAUACCAUCAUGAAUAUCAUAAAGAAGAGAAAGACAUUAGGGAAGAGGGAAGAGGAAGAUAAAAGAGAAAGGGGAGACAAAAUCCGACAUGAUCUCCCUUUUUCUCCUUUACAAUUUUUUUUUUCAUUUUAGAAGUCUAUAAAAUCUUCUAAAAAUACUAUAUAAUAAUAACCACCAAAUUUGAAUAUUCAAUUAAAUUAUUAAAUAAUAAAAUAGAGUCUUAAUAUAACAAUAAAAGUGAUGUUGUCAUCUAUAAUUCAUGUAUAAGUCUGGAAGCUUCGGAAAAAUUAAUCACAUCAUAUUAGAUUUGCAUGUAUAAGGAUGUUCCUGCACAUUAGCAACACAGGUGCAAUGUCUUUAUGCCAAAUUGCAAACUCGAUAUAGUUAGUAUCUCUCCAAACUCAAAACAUGAAAGUUGUAGAUCUAUUGCUUAGGGUUCCAUAGCAUUUUGGAUCAACUCAAUCAGGGCUUGGAUGAAAUAGUUAUACCCUAAUUAUGAAGUUGUGUUAAAACUGCCUAGAAUCACCCAAUUAACUCUGUUUUUCCAUUAAUGGCUCCAUUUAGACCCUAAAUCAGAAUAUAAAAAUAAUGAGUAUAUUUAGGCAUCAAAUAAUUAUAAAAUACUGCACAUUAACAGAGAAAAAUAUGAUAUUUGUAUUCUCAUCAAAUUCCCCCACAUUUAAGUUUUGUUCGUCCCUGAGGAAAACUUAAAUUCACUUUCCAUGAAAAAAAAAAUUAAAGGUUGCAAUGCCAUCAAUAAAGAAUAACCAAGCUCUUAAAAAAUAAUAAUCUAUCAUGAAUAAAAUAUUCUUAGACAACUUAUAAUUAUUAACAAGAAUUUUCAUUCUAAGAUAGAGUAAGCUAAUUAAGUAGACCUUUAUAGAAAUAAACACUCGACUUUCAUGUGUUUGAAAGGCAUGUGUUUCACUUAAAUUCAUUCUAAUGGAAAUCCUUUACCAUAGGCUUGCAUAUCUUCUUAUUCUCCACCACUAGGAUCCCAUGUAUAACUCAAAUCAUAAAGACUUUUUAAGGUUUGUAAGGAGGCUCAAGGAAUAAAAAUACAUCAACUCAAACUCGAAUAUAUAAGACAUGUAAAAUCAAUCACUCCAUUUAGUAGCUUUUUCAAUUUGACUUUAAAUAAUUUAAACUAUGUAAAGCUCCUGUAUUUAAAAAGAGAUUGUUAAAAAGAAACACAUUUUAUUUUCUUGCACCUUUGUAUAUAUCAUGUAUGAACAAACUCCUUUUUUGGAUUUUUAGGAGGAAUUAUGAACAUGAAUAGUUUAUAACAUUAACAACAAUUCCUCCAUCUUUUUUUUUUUAACUCAAUACAUCAACAACAUGAAUUGAGAAUGAAAAUAUGCUCCAUAGGCAUAGCCAUACCAUCAAUCUAGACACCCCCACAUUUAUUUCUUGAACACCCAUACAUAGCAUAAUAAUGAACAAUGCUCCACUAGCUUUAUGACUUGGGCAAUGGUAUUCUUUUUUUCAGGUUUGAAGCUUGUAAAAUGGUUUCCAAUAAAAAGCUUGAAAGGGUUCAACAAAGAAAAAAAUUAACUACCAGGUAGGCUAUUUGGCUUAUGUAGCUUAUAACAAAGAGGGCCUUAAUCAUGUUUAUGCUUACAUGUGUCAAUGUGAUCUUGAUGAGAAUCAUGACAAGUUCUACAGAAACAAAUCCAUUGAAGAACAUCUCACAUGAAAGAAAAUAAUGAGAUUGGUAUAACUAAAGGCUUAAAUUCUUAUCGGUUUCUGGUCUACCAAAUUUAGUCACAACCAUCCUCAAUGAAAAUAACUAGAAUAAUUAAUUCCAAGUUGGAAAAAUUAGUUGUUCAAAUCAUGUUAUGAUUUUUACAAGCUUACUUAAAUCUUGAUCAUGUCAUACAAAAUCAAAUUUCAUCGAAAACCACAAGAACCAAAAAAAGAAAGCAAAACUAUUUUUUUAAAUUGAAAACAAAACAUUCAAAAUAUAAUUAAAACACAACUAAAUCCCCUCCCCCACACUUAAAACUUAUAUUGUCCCAAAUGUAAGGUAAAAUGCAAAAGGCAAAACUAACCAAAAUACAAAUGAGAAAUGAAGAAGAAGAAGAAAAAAAAAAACAAACUCCUUUUGAGUUGCCUCCCAAUGAGGAUCUUUGUUUAUUGUUGUUAGCUCAACUUAAUGCUUCCUUCUUUAAUUAGUAUAAAUUGGAUCCUCAUUGUUCAAUGUUCUCACAUUCUCUACUUGGAAUCCUUCAUAACAAGCCUUAAGUCUAUGGCCAUUAACCUUGAAUGUUUUUAAAGUUAUUAAACUUUGAAUUUCAACUACAUUAUAAGAAAAAACAUUAGUAACAAUAAAAUAUCUAGUACAGUGAGAAUGUAACUUACCUAGAAACAAAUAAAAUCAUGAGUGGUAUCGAAGGACUUUUUGACCAAUUUUAAACUCUUUCCUAAAUAUUAUUUUGUCAUGAAAAGCUUUCGUCUUUUCCUUGUAAAUCCUUGUACUCUUACAUGCAUCAUUACAGAUUUCCUCUAACUAUAAUAGUUGCAACUUCUUAUGUUCUUCACUUUCGUCCAUCUUCUUGUUGAAACUCUUGACAACCUAAUAAGCCAUAUGUACUAACUCAACUAGAAGGUGACAUACUCAUUAGGUGUCUUAUAUGCAAUCCUAUACUCCUAUAAAGCAUUAUCCAAACAUAAACUCUAAUAUUUUCUACUUGGAUUGACCAUCUUUUCAAUUAUGGUUUCGAUCUCCUAAUUUGACACUUCAAUUUGAAAAAUAAAACCAAUAAAGAUUAAAUUAAAAAUGUCCUCAAAAAAAUUGCAAUUAAAAGAUCAUAGGGGUGAAAUCGAAAAUCAUUUGUAAUAUGAUUUAUUACUUUUAGAUUAAAAAAUUAAAGGGGGUGAAAUAUAAAAACAAUUAUUGAAAACAAACUAAAAUGUUUUAUCCAUUCCAAGAAAUCACUUUCCAUUAAACAAACGCCCCCUUAAUUUUAGAGGAUGAGAUCGCUAGAAAUAUAUUAAUAAAAAAACUUGCAAAAGCAACAAAAAAUCAAAAGAAUAAAAAUCAACUUUUAAAAAUAACAAAAAUCAUAGGGGUGAAAUUGAAAACAUAUAUAAAAGCCAAGCCAAGCAAACUCGGAGAAACAUCCUAAAUACAAUCAAAUCUUUAAAAACUUGCAACUUUUGAAAACUUGGAUCCAAAUCCUAUUAAAAUUUUUAUUAAUUGCGAAUUUUAAAAUAUAAAGUUAAAUAACUUGUCAAAGCCAAAACAAAUAAAAAAAAAAAACAUCGAGCAAACUCGACAGCCAACUUAAGCUAACAAACCCAAUACAUGUGACUUGAAUGACGCUAUAAACACAAAAACUUAAAAAAUACCAUUAACUUUUUUUAAAAAAAAAAUGUUGUAUAAAAGAUAAAAGUCAACUUGUGAUAAUCUUUUAAAUCUAUGAACCGGGUAAUGAGACCGGUGUGACCUCAUUAAAGGCAAAUCUAAAAAAGUAAAGAAGUCAAGUUCUUAACCAAACAAAUAUCGAGACAUGAAAUUGAAAAAGAAAUCAAUAAAAAACAACGAUGCAAAAAAAUAACAAUUAAAUUAAUUAGAACUAAAUUCGACAUAAAAAUCAAAUGAAAUUAAAUAUUCAUACAUGAAAUUCUAAAAAACCAGCCAUUUAAAAAAGUAAUUAGAAAAAAACAUGACCGAAUUUGACGCAAAAAAUAAAUGAAAAUAAAUGUUUAGGGAUAGAAUUGAAAAAACAAUCAAUUAAAAAAAUGAUUCAAAACAAAAUAAAUAAUAACUUAAAAAAUAAAUACUAAAUUCAAAAAACAAAUUCAAAAAUCAAAUAACUAGUAAUGAAAUCAAAUAUAAAAUUCAAUUAAAAAAAAUCAUCCUAUCCCGAAAAAAACCAAAGAUAAAUUAACUAAAAAACAAUAUAGGAUCAAUCGAAUAAUAAACUGUUUCUUAAAGCACUACAGUACCAGCGUGGGUUUUAGAUUUGUUAAUGGAAUCCAAGUCUGGGCACAUACGACUAGAAUUUAUUUCUUUUGAAAUUAUCGAGGUCAUGCAGUAGCUAGCGACAAUACUAGCCAGCUGUUAAAAUAACUUCCAGCGUCACAGGUUGGGCCUCGACUGACAAAGCUAGCCAGCUGCUGUCAGUGAAUUGAAACGACAACACGUUACCAGGAACGUCCUGGCAGGAAGUCCCAAAGAUGCAAAUAAAAUUUUAUUAAACAUAAAAAAAAUAACAAACUUAAAUAAUAUUCAUACAAAUUGAAUGUCUUUCCAAAACAAUAUUAAAUUAGCAAAAUGACAGAGGAGGAAGAGGAGCUUGUUAUUUUUUAAUGGAAUCCAUGUCUGGGUACAUACUACUAGAAUUUAAUUCUUUUGAAAUUAUACAGGUCAUGCAGUAGCUAGCGACAAAACUAGCCAGUGAGUGGCUGAAGGUCCACAACAACCAAUAAGAUAUCAGCACUGUCUUGUACGUUUGAAUAUAUAAUUCAACGACACAAACGAGUUUAUUAUAAAUUAUUUUUAAUUUUAAAAAUAAAAAAUAUAUUUUUUUUUAAAAAUAUUAUUUUUAUUAAACUACAAUGGUUAUAAUUCACUCUCGAAAGUGUAAUUAUAAUUAAUUUUUAAAGUAUUUUUUAUUAAUUAUUUAUAUUAGUAUAUUAAAAUGAUCUGAAAACACCAAUAAAUAUUAAUUUAAAAUAAAAAAAAUUAAAUUUAUUUAAAAAUAAUUUUACAAUAAAAAAUUAAAUAAGAUAUCAAUCACAAACCCUGACCAACACUAUUCUCUCUUCCAUCAAACGUCAGCAUAAUUUUGCCUUCACGAUUUUAUAAAUUAUCCACCUCAUGUUGUUAAAGGUUUGAUAUCGUGGAAUGUUACAGGCUACAAAUUUAUCCACCUUAUUCUCUUACGAAUAACAAUAAUUUACAAGCUCUUAUUUUAUUUUGUUUUAUUAUAUUAGAGUAACAAUAAGUUAUCCACCUUAUUUCGAGUGUUCUUCUAGUAUAUCCACCAGAAAACAAAUCACCGGCCAGGACAUAGGUAUUGGUGAGGAUGCCUCACCAUUUCCUUGAUUGCAUAAACUUGUAUGAUAAAUAACUCAGUGCAAUAUAAUUACCAUUACAAAAAAAUUUCAGUGUAAGAUUCAGAUUUCAUCAGUAAUUUUUUUAUCACUUACGGUUCCAUUUGUUUACUGGAAAAUAUUUUUUUUUUUAAAGUGAAUUUCGAGAAAGUAUUUUUUGAUAUUUGGUAGUGUAAUAAAAAAUCAGUUGGAAAUAUUUUCUAGUGUUUGGUUAUGUUAUGGAAAAUGAGCUGAAAAAUAACUUAUUAAUAUUUUAUUUUUCUCAAGUUUAUUAAAAUAAUGAGGAACAAAUCUUACAAAUUAAAAAGUUGAAUGAGAAUGAAAUUGAAAAAAAAUAUAUAAUUUCAUAAAUUAUCUCAAAUAAAAUAAAUAAUAAUCAAAAUAAUAGAGAUCAAAUUUAAAAAAUUAAAAAAAAAUGAAAGAUGAAGAAAUUAAAAUAAUAAUAAUCAAAAUUUCAUUAAUUAUUUCAAAUAAAAUAAGUAACAAUCAAAAGAAUGAGGACCAAAUUUGAUAAAUAAAAAAUUUCAAUAAAAAAAUGAUAAGGAAAAAGCAAAUAGCAAUUAUAAAAAUAAGGACCAUAGUUAAUAUAAAAAUAAAAUUUUAAGAGAUGAAAUUAAAAUAUAAAUAUUCAAAACAAAAUAUAUAUAGCAAUGAAAAGUUUGAGGAUUAAAUUUGAUAUAAUCAGCAAAUAAUGAUAUUUUUAAAUUUUUCACAACUUCCGGAAAGUGUUUUCCCCCCAAAAUUUUCAGUAAAACACUUUCCUGAAAACCAAGCCAAAUUUUCUUUAAAAUAAUUUCUUGAAAACUACUUUUCAAAAAACAAACAUCUCCUACGUUAUCUACAGAAAGAUUUCAUCGAUAUCCCCUUCAUAAGGGAUAUCAUAGUCCGUUGAUUUUGGACCAUAUAAGAAAUAAUCACAAUUCCUUGUAUAACUGGUGACCAAUAAAUUCAGUCUUCUAACUCAUAGAAGGUGUGAAAUACAAAAACUCAGUGAGAAACAUGGGAUCUCUUCCAAAGAGCACCAAGGCUCAUGCCGUGUGCGUCCCAUAUCCCGCUCAAGGUCACAUAGCUCCUAUGCUCAAAGUAGCAAAACUACUCCAUCACAAAGGCUUUCACAUCACCUUUGUCAACUCUGAAUACAAUCACAGACGUUUGCUCAAGUCCGGUGGCCGUAACUCCCUUGAUGUCUUGCCUGAUUUCCAGUUUGAAACCAUUCCAGAUGGUCUAGGUGAUCAGCUUGAUGCUAAUGUUACCCAAGACAUUUCAUUUCUCUGUGACUCUACCUCAAAGGCUUGCUUAGACCCAUUUCGCCAACUUCUUGCCAAACUCAAUUCAUCAAAUGUUGUCCCGCCUGUAACUUGCAUAGUAGCAUGUGGCAUGUCCUUCGCUCUGAUGUGAAGGAGGAACUUCAAAUCCCUGUCGUCUUUCUGGACUUCAAGUGCAUGUGGCACAUUGGCUAUGCACAUUACAAACAUCUUGUUGAAAGAGGUUACACACCACUCAAAGGUACGUACUCAUACAUUAUUACUAAUUUCAUACUAUCAUGAAUCUUUUCGAAGUAAAUUGUUCAUGUAACGUGUUUUUAUCUUUGAUAUCAAUGAUGCAGAAGAAAGCGAUAUGACAAAUGGAUAUUUGGAGACAAAAAUAGACUGGAUUCCUGGAAUGAAAGAUAUUCGUCUGAAGGACCUUCCGACCUUCAUUCGCACAACAGAUCGAAACGACGUUAUGCUAAACUUUGUGAUAAGAGUAAUUGAUAGAGCUUCAAAAGCUUCAGCUGCUCUUUUGAAUACUUUUGAUGACUUAGAUCAUGAUGUUCUGGUUGCUCUCUCAUCUAUGUUUCCUCCGAUUUAUUCUGUUGGUCCUCUUAAUUUGCUUCUUGAUCAAACACAGAAUGAUCAUCUAGCAUCAAUUGGAUCCAGUCUGUGGAAAGAAGAGACUGAAUGCCUGCAAUGGCUGGACUCCAAGGAUCCCAAUUCUGUUGUCUACGUGAAUUUUGGAAGCAUCACUGUCAUGAAUCCACAGCAACUUGAGGAGUUUUCUUGGGGACUAGCUAACAGCAAGAAGAAUUUUUUAUGGAUAAUCAGGCCUGAUCUUGUCAGGGGCGAAUCAGCGGUUUUGCCUCCAGAGUUUCUUGAAGAGACUAGAGAGAGAGGCCUGAUGGCGAGCUGGUGUGCGCAGGAAAAAGUCCUGAAGCAUUCAUCGAUAGGAGGGUUUUUAAGUCACAUGGGGUGGAAUUCCACCAUUGAAAGCUUGUCCAACGGCGUGCCAAUGCUAUGCUGGCCUUUCUUCUCCGAACAACAAACUAACUGUAAGUUUGCUUGCGUUGAUUGGGGUGUUGGCAUGGAAAUUGAAAGUGAUGCAAAUAGAGAUGAAGUGGAGAAGCUUGUGAUAGAGUUAAUUGAUGGGGAGAAAGGUAAGGAAAUGAAAAGGAAGGCAAUGGAAUGGAAGUCAAAGGCUGAAGCGACAACAGGUGUUAAUGGUUCAUCAUCCAUGAAUUUUGACAAACUUGUCGACGACGUGCUCCGGUUCCAAAAACCUUGAAUUAGCUUCUUUGAUGAAAUUGUUGUUACAUCUGCAGGUUGUCUGCCUUUAGCUUUUUUACAUUCUGUUACAUACUCCACUUUUCCAUUCAGCCAAUUGAAUACAGAGUUAUUAAACCCGGCCCGGGGGUUGACCCGGCCAAGGGGCCGGGUCUCGGGUUUCAUGGGUCAACCCGGGUUGACCCGGAUUAACCCGUAAUAAUUAAAAAAAAAUUAAUAUUUCAUAUGAAAAAAUUCAUGUAAAUAUAGAUUAUACAUAUUAUAAAUAAUGAAGUUUAAAAUAAUAUUU
This 28615-nucleotide long non-coding RNA is filed under the name Populus tremula. Its description in RNAcentral is "long non-coding RNA (PTRE_LNC001400)". The record is from RNAcentral. Lineage: Eukaryota; Viridiplantae; Streptophyta; Magnoliopsida; Malpighiales; Salicaceae.